CAUAUUGAAUUUAUUUUAUACUACAUUAAGAAUUCGACAACUACUCUCAAAAUUGGAAGCUAUAAUAAGACUAAAACUCUCAGUUUGAAUGCACAAAACCAAAAGUAAUACUUUAUAACUGGCUUGUUAGAAUAAUAAAUAGUUUUAGGCUUAAUAAAUCAAAUAUAUAAUUUUGAAUUUUUACUAUUAUGAAUUUAUUUAUUAAUUAAAAAAUAGCAUCUCAUUUCAGGAACCAGGUCAAAGUGAAAACAAAAGAGAAUUAUUGAUUUGAUAGGAAUAAAUUGAAAAACUAAUAAUAGUGCAUUUCUUACUAUUUAGAACUAUUCAUUUUUUUUAUUACAGUACUAAUGUAACAUUUUUAUACUCCAAGACAGAUAAACUUGAUAGUACUGUAAAAGUAAUAAGUAUCAUAACUGUUUCCAUUCAGUAAAAAAAGUCUUCAUCUAAAAGAAACAAAAAUUGAAAAGAAUUUUACACAUUUGAAAUUCUUUGUAAUAAAAGUUUAUUUUUAAAGUGAUUUCCUGGUUCAAAGUGUUACUUAAUUUCACGGGGGGGGGGGAGCAGUUAUUUCAUCGUCUCAGAAGGCACUAUCUGGCAGAUUAUCUUUCUAUGCUGUUAUUAUAAUUUAUUUUUUUAAAAAAGGUUUUGAUUUAUAAUAUUCUUUUUUUUUGUAUUAUCCUACAAACUUCUUGAACACAACAACUUUAAAAUCUGAUUUUUUUUUCUGUGUUUGCAUUGCAAUUCUUGUAUACAUACAUAUAUACCUGAACAUUACAAUAAGAUAUGAAAAAUGGAUUAUAAAACAAAUAUAAGAAACUGGAAAAAAGUAAAAUAUUUUAAUAACAUUAUGAAUGCGACAAAAUGCAAAAUAUUAAAAGGAUAAUACGCAAUCAAUGAAUGCAGUUUCUUUAGAAACUACAUCUUGCAUGUGAUAUCUAUACAGUGGGCUUGCUUUCAUUUCAUAAGGACCUAAAAUUCUUUCCCUUAACUGCGGGGAAGAUGAUAACUGUUGCAUGUUAUAAUUCCGCAUGGGAAUAUUUGGGAAAUGGGCUGCUGGGUUUUUUUUCUAUCUGUACCUCCACGUGACCAUCAAUAUUAUCACGCAUAUCAUCCACAUUCGAAAAUCCUUUCCCUGGCAUUAAAUCUGAAUUUCCAAAACUCCUACCUUUAACAUCAUCGAAUAAAAUGAACCUUUUGCCAAUGGCCUGACCGAGAUAAAAUGAUAGGCGGCCUUUGUCAACGUUCACAUUUAUAUUCAUUCCUUGAAAAAGCUUACAAAAAACGUUUGAGAAUGUCGUUUUUCCACUUUUAUAGUCGCCCUGUAAAACGAUGUACCUUUUUCUUGGCAUUUAAGAUUUUUCUAGCAAUACCUUUAAAAUUAGGUAUAACUUCUGAACAAUAGUACCAGGCUUCACCAACUUUAUCCAUACUAAAAUUUUCCUGAAUAUCAUCUCCAAUCUCUUUACACCUUCUGUUACACCUAUACUGGCAAUUUGUUUCCCGUCGGCUUUGAAUUAGAAGUUUUGCAAAUACACUCUUCACUGCAUUUUUAGCCACCCUUUUUUUAUCGGAUAUAUGUUCGAAUAUUUUUGCAUUUUCUAAAUGUUUAACAUGAUCAUUUUCAUGUUCGUUUGUUAUUUAAGAAGGACUUCGGUCGCAGCCAGAACUCAGAUGGGAGUAUCCAUACAUCAGUUCAUAGGGAUCGUCCAUUUCAUUAGCUAAUGCAAAAUCUGCCAACAUUUUGUAAUUCAUUUUUUUUAUUUCCAUCUGAUGUGGAGCAUUUUAUUUCAAAUUUUACUGGCUCUUCUUUCGAAGGACCAUACUUAUCUUUACAAAAUUCAAUACAUUUCGCGAUUUUAGUGGUAUACAAGGCCGUUGUACUUUCCAAACUGGAUAAUGGUUCCUCAAUAUACGGUUCUGCUAGAAAAAGCAUUUUGCAAAAACUGGAUCCUAUUCACCACAUAGCUCUCCGUCUUUGUUCAGGUGCUUUCAGGACAUCCCCUGUUAAAAGCUUGUAUGUUGAAACCUGUGAACCAGCCCUUGAAUUAAGAAGACAAUUUUCAUCUCUUAAUUAUUAUUUUAAAAUUCAAUCGAACAUUAAUCAUCCAUUUUAUGAUUUUAAACUUCGCCCCUUUUUAGUUCGCUUGCAAGAUGCCCGAAAAUCAUUCAUCCCUGUCUUUUUUACAAGAGUUCAUAAUAUUCUUUUAGACCUUAAUCUACUGUAUCUACAUGCAUCUCCUCAACCGGAAAAUACUUUUCCACCUUGGAAAAUCCCUGAAGUACAAUAUUUAAAUCCUUUUGAAACUUUUAUCAAGUCUGAUACAGCAAAUAUCGUUUUUCAAAAAUUUUUCUUAGAACACAGACAACAAUAUCAAAAUUUUAUUCCAGUUUUUACAGACGAGCAAAAUCAGCUGCUCAUGUCUCUUUUGCGGUUGUUUUCCCUCACACAGUUUCUUCUUUUUAACUUCACCCCUCCUGUUCAGUUUUUACUGCAGAAAUAAGUACUCUUUUAUAUGCUUUAGAAGAAAUUUCUAAUAGCCGGGACAAAAACUUUAUCAUCUAUACGGAUUCUCUGAGUGUUUUAAAUUCUCUAAAAUCAUGUAAUCCUCAUCCUUUGAUUUUAAAAAUCUUAGAUAAUUUUGCUAAACUAACUUCUCUUAGUUACACUAUUUUAUUCUGUUGGAAUUGUGGGCAAUGAAGAGGCAGAUAAGGCUGCCAAAUUGGCGACUACUUCAAUGGCUACUAAUAUUCCUGUGAACGACAUAAGGAAACAUAUUAAAAAGCUUCUAUAUUCUAAUUGGCAAAGACAUUGGGAUCUGUAAACAAACAGCAAACUUCAUGUUAUCAAACCCCAUGUGCAACCCUGGCCCUCAUUAGCGAACAGAAAAGCGGAUACUGUCUUAACACGAUUACGAAUUGGACACAUUCGAUUUACCCAUAAUCAUUUGUUGUUAGGUGAACAACCACCACUGUGUUCGCGAUGCCAUUGUCAAAUUUCCGUUCAACAUAUUUUGUCAGAAUGCCCAAAUUUCAAUGCUAAGCGUUUACAGUUUUUUCAAAAGUCUUUCCCUUCAUUAUUUUCCUUGCUUAAUAAGGCAUCUCAUGUCCAAAUUUUUGCUUUUUUAAAGUCCAUAAAGUUUUAUCCGUUGAUUUAAAUCUUGUUUACUUUUUAGCUUCCAUUCGUUUACUUUUAUAUUCCAUUCGAUUACUGUUUUAAAUUAUAUAAUUUUACCCAUUGUUUGACGGAGCAUGGUCAACAUCAUGGCUCUUGCUCCAUAAAACCUCAAACAAACUCAAACUAUUAUAGAGAAAAGACUCAAUUUAAAUUAUUAAAUAAGGAAACCAACACUUAAUUUAUUAAAUUAGUUUAAAAAAUUCUUAAAAUUAUAUUAAAGAAGUAAUUUCUCUUUAAUUAAUGUCAUUUUCAUAUAAUGCAGUUAUGACAGAAUGAAGGUAAUAAUUUAUUUCUUAGCUAUUGCUUUAUUAUUCCUUUUGUUUAUUAUAAUCCAUCUUGCUAGUUUCUGUUCAUUUUACCUGCAAAGUAAACAAUGAGUUAUUGUUUUGAAUUUGUAGUUAUUAUUAUAUUUCUGUUAUUGUAGUUUUGAAGAUUAAUUUUGCAUUUACCGGAAUGAUAAAGUAAGUGGUAGCUAAAAUAAAAAUUAUUUUAUAUUGCAGGUAUGUGAGCUGCAUUUUGUAGAAGAUGAUCUUGUCAAAGAAGCUCGUGGGUUCGACAUAAACACAGGUAAAGUGCUUACCGCACCAUUGGGCAUUAAAAAAUUAAAGAAGGAGGCAUCCCUACAAUUUUUUGUGGAUAUCCAAAUUAUUUUCAAGUUCCUAAGAUCCAGAGAGAUUGUCCUGAAGAAAAGAGAGAGGAAAGAGAGCAGUCUGCUCUCAUUCAGGCUAUUGAGAACAGCAUUAAAAAAAAUGAAAUAUAUGAAAAAUCCAGGUCAUUUGGCUCUUUGGAAGAACUUGAUUUGAAGCAAUAUAUGUGGUAAAUUAACUCCACGAGAGUGCGUUCUGCAUUCUUCCGGUGAUCGGAGGGCAGAGUUCACUGGACGAGAAGGACGUCCGCCGAGAAGGGAGCAACCGGAAAUCGAGAAGACAUGAUACUCUGAAAAAAGGCCGAAACUGGAAUUCUUGCGUAGAAGAAUUCCUCUGCAAAUGCCCAGUGUACCCGUGACCUCCGAGAGACAAGGCCUGCUGGCUCUACAACUCGCUCCUGCAUGAGUCAUCACUGCCAGGCGAUCGAGAAGCCGGUUAACAAUCGUCACUCUGCACGUUUUCUGCGCGAAGUGAACGACGGCUGGCGUUUAUAAGCCUUCAUUUUUUUCUACUUUUAUAUUUAUUUCUUGAUCCAAGAUGGUGUUAUAUUGAAAUGGAUGAGAUGCAAAAGCAAGUUUAAGAUACAAAUUAUUGAAGAUGCCAUAUAAAUGCUCAGUUCCAGCUUGCCGUGGAAAUUAUGAUGAAGAAAAUAAAGUCGAUGUUUUUGGGUAUCCCACUGAUGAGGCUUUAAGAGAGAAAUGGCUGCAUGCAAUAAUUCCAAGAAAAAAAUUUACCAUUACAAAGAAUUCUAAGGUUAGCAAAAAUUAGCAUUGAUAAUUAAUACGUUUUAAUAUUUUGAAAUAGUUUCAAUUAUUUAAAAUAUUAUUAAUUAAUUAUUAAAAAUUACCUGUUAUAUUAAUUAUUAAAUUAUUAAUAAAUGUAAUGUGUAAUUAUUAAAAAAAUUGAUAAAUUGGAAAGGGAAAAAGUACCUGUUAUAGAAUAUAUGAAUAAGUAUAGAAGGGGGGGAAAUUUGUUUUGAAGGAAUAAAGUGAAAUUUAUUUUUAAAAAUUUAAUUGAAUGUAACUGUGAAAUUAAAUGUAUUUAUAUUAUUUAAGAUUGGUAAAAUUAUAACCU
Argiope bruennichi is the source of this 4896-nucleotide long non-coding RNA. RefSeq lists it as uncharacterized. The record is from RefSeq and is a predicted model, not a curated record. NCBI's taxonomy places the organism in Eukaryota, Metazoa, Arthropoda, Arachnida, Araneae, Araneidae. The transcript has 3 exons.